GUCCUUUUGAAAUUAAUUUAAGGUUUAACCUGCCCACUGAAAUUAUUUGAAGGGCCGCAGUAAUUUGACUGUGCAAAGGUAGCAUAAUCAUUAGUUUUUUAAUUAAAAGCUUGUAUGAAGGGUUGGACGAGGUAAAUUCUGUCUCUAUUUAAUUUAAAUUAGAAUUUAAUUUUUAAGUUAAAAAGCUUAAAUUUUUUUAAAAGACGAGAAGACCCUAUAGAUCUUUAUAUUAUUUAUAUUAAUUUUAAUUAGGAAUAAUUAAUUUUUUAACAUUAAUAAUAUUUUAUUGGGGUAAUAAAAAGAUUUAAUUAAUUCUUUUUUUAAUUUUACAUUAAUUUAUGAAAUAAUGAUCCAAUUUUAUUGAUUAAAAGAUUAAGUUACCUUAGGGAUAACAGCGUAAUUUUUUUAGAGAGUUCAUAUCGAUAAAAAAGUUUGCGACCUCGAUGUUGGAUUAAAAAUUAUCUUAGGUGCAGAAGUUUAAGAUUUUGGUCUGUUCGACCAUUGAAUUUUU
This 511-nucleotide ribosomal RNA is filed under the name Platambus princeps. RNAcentral describes it as "partial 16S ribosomal RNA". It matches the Rfam family "Bacterial large subunit ribosomal RNA", at positions 1825 to 2597 of the family's 2925-position model. The record is from RNAcentral. Lineage: Eukaryota; Metazoa; Arthropoda; Insecta; Coleoptera; Dytiscidae.